GUAGGUGGCAAGCGUUGUCCGGAAUUAUUGGGCGUAAAGCGCGCGCAGGCGGUUCUUUAAGUCUGAUGUGAAAGCCCACGGCUCAACCGUGGAGGGUCAUUGGAAACUGGAGAACUUGAGUACAGAAGAGGAAAGCGGAAUUCCACGUGUAGCGGUGAAAUGCGUAGAGAUGUGGAGGAACACCAGUGGCGAAGGCGGCUUUCUGGUCUGUAACUGACGCUGAGGCGCGAAAGCGUGGGGAGCAAACAGGAUUAGAUACCCUGGUAGUCCACGCCGUAAACGGUGAGUGCUAAGUGUUAGGGGGGUUUCCGCCCCCUUAGUGCUGCAGCUAACGCAUUAAGCACUCCGCCUGGGGAGUACGACCGCAAGGUUG
RNAcentral lists this ribosomal RNA (373 nucleotides) under uncultured organism. Its description in RNAcentral is "partial 16S ribosomal RNA". It matches the Rfam family "Bacterial small subunit ribosomal RNA", at positions 527 to 896 of the family's 1533-position model. The record is from RNAcentral.